Molecule: RNase P RNA, 313 nt
Filed under: Eudoraea sp.
Lineage: Bacteria; Pseudomonadati; Bacteroidota; Flavobacteriia; Flavobacteriales; Flavobacteriaceae
Description: RNase P RNA component class A
Rfam family: Bacterial RNase P class A
About the family: Ribonuclease P (RNase P) is a ubiquitous endoribonuclease, found in archaea, bacteria and eukarya as well as chloroplasts and mitochondria. Its best characterised activity is the generation of mature 5'-ends of tRNAs by cleaving the 5'-leader elements of precursor-tRNAs.
Source: RNAcentral
AUAGCAGGUCACCUUAUCGCUCUGGUGUUUACACCAGGGAGGAAAGUCCGGACACCAUAGUGCGGCAUAGCGGGUAACACCCGUCCUCCGAUCUAUCGGAGCGGACAAGUGCAACAGAAAGUAUGUACAGAUAAUGCUGUAGUGAAAUCAGGUAAACUCUAUGUGGUGAAACGUCAUGUAUAUCAGUGUUUGAGGGCUGCACGCCCGAGCUGAAGGGUAGGCGGUUUGAGUUUUUGGGUAACCAGGAAUCUAGAUAAAUGAUAAGGAAGUCUUGUAAAAGACUACAGAAUCCGGCUUAUGACCUGCUUUUUCA